This is a non-coding RNA of Pelobates cultripes (western spadefoot toad), 390 nucleotides long. The record is from the annotation of a GenBank genome assembly. NCBI's taxonomy places the organism in Eukaryota, Metazoa, Chordata, Amphibia, Anura, Pelobatidae.
CUGUAAUAAUACAUUGAGCUGUAAUAAUACAAUAAGCUGUAAUGAUACAUUGAGCUGUAAUGAUACAUUGUGCUGUAAUGAUACAAUAAGCUGCAAUGAUACAUUGUGCUGUAAUGAUACAAUAAGCUGUAAUGAUACAUUGAGCUGUAAUGAUACAUUGUGCUGUAAUAAUACAUUGAGCUGUAAUAAUACAUUGAGCUGUAACGAUACAUUGAGCGGUAAUGAUACAAUGAGCUGUAAUGAUACAAUGAGCUGUAGUAAUACAAUGAGCUGUAAUACAAUACAUUUUAAAUAAUAUAACAAGCUGGCAAGCUGGCAAUGGUACAUAGAGUUAGAGUGUCUCUUUAAUUUUGUUUUUCAGUCUCUGUUUGUGGAGGGAGGAUUGGAAAU